ACCAGGGCAGCAAAACAAGAUGCAAGAAGCAAUGAAAUUUUGAAAUUGGCCUGAAGAGACAAGCUUCCCUCCCACUGAAGGUAUUGUAAUUUUCCGCAUAUUAUUGACUAGAGCAACCAUUUUUUAGUAAAGCGAGGGACAAGCACACACGGUUAAAGCAACGUUGGACUAAAAUCACGCUUUAACCCUGCAACUUCGCCGAGUUAAAUAGCUAAAAAGUAUCUCGUCUAUCAUAUUUAUUGCCAAGGAAAUCGGCUAUCUAAUAACUCUUAGAAAUGAUGGUACCUUGAAUUUGUUGACAAGUUCAUUUGGACUUCUCACCCCUUAACUAUUCUGUAUCAGUGACGACCCCUGCCGACAGUCUUUCACUUGCUAUUUCAGUGGCUAUCCCUGCCUCAUACACAGGUGAUUGCUUCUUUUCACUUCUUUUGCUUAAGUCUCGCAAGCAAAAAUUUCACGUUCCAACGUAAACUUGACCCAUAACUGUGAUAAGUUUUUGUCUCCCUAUUUUUUGUAUUUCGCGUAUACUUAUCUUUCAAUGGUACAGGUUUAUCAACACUGGGCUCGCCGAUGGCGAACAAAUGUCUGUUGGUGUUGGGCGAUCGAUAGCUAUGUUACACCGUACAUAAAAUGAAUCCUAUAAACACUUCUGUCAAUCAAAAUUAGGAGACUAGAAUCGAUGGAUCAGAGUCUUUUUCAUCUAUGAGCGUCUAUAAAAGUUGGAAUGAGAAAACGAUAGACAAUGAAGAAAAAAUUAUUUUUACCAUACUUUGACUAGAUAUUGUGGGUCAUAUGUUUAAUUAACGAAGAGAUAUUACUUUAUUCUACUUGUGCAUGUGCUUUUUCAACCCUUAGGGCUGUCAAUGAUAGCAAGGUGCUAUAACCUUAUUAUCAGCGUAUUGAUUCAAGAAAUAGUCCUACCAACUCUUAGUACACGCCAAUAUCAGUUGAUGAUUCUUUCGAACAAACUUUCAAAGGACUUUAUAAUAGCUAGUCGUUAAAUUUUACUAAAGACAGUUUGUCAAUAUGAUCAUUUAAGGCCGGAAGGAAACUUCUACAUGACAAUAUGUAGCUUCUCAAAAAAGGAGCAACUUUAUCUAAUCCCAACUAAAUGAACUCUUGAUGCUUGUACUCUUGAAUAUUCACGUUAUCUAUUUCUCAUGAUAUUUAAGCAACAUAUUAACGCGAGGAAUUUUAGUAAGUGUUUAUCAUUUCAAUUGUCCGAGGGUAUACGAAGGUUACAUAUAUAUCAUUGGUGUUUGUCAUAAAACAAAAGAGAUUUCAUAAUAUUAAAUACCUUUGCCUUUAACGCCCACCACUAUUUUUAAUCAACUGCUCUUACUUACAAACGGAAAUCUAUAAUAAAGCUUCUUUUAUUUACCAACAUUGGACACUAAUAAAUGCAAAAAUAAAAGUCCACGUUGAAACCUUUCAAAAUGAAGUAAGACAGCUUAAAAAAGGCGCCUUUCACUUUACGUAGAAAAUUACUUAUUUGCAUAUGAAAAGCAAAAAGCAAAAAACAAAUCUGAUAGCACAUCGAAAAGGCCGCAAAAGGCACUGUAUAUCUUACCUCGCUUAUGCUGAUGUUAAUAUUUAACCGAAAGUUAGUUUGGCAAAGAUACCAAUGUCUCUCUUUUUACAUUGGAAAUAUUUACUUUUCACACUACAAAUAUUGCUUAAUGUUGUUGAGAUUCAUUAUUUUCAUUUGAGAAAAAUUGACAGGAAUUGCUUUAAUCGUCGUAGCUUCUCUGACAGCUGGUCAAGCAUCAUUAUAUUUGCAAUUGCCAAACAGAAAUGUUUGAUUAUUUAAAACAGUAGAAGAUAAAUAAGAGUUGAUCGUUUUAACAUAAAAAAUUAACAAUCUGGCAUUCCAUGGUGACUAUAUUUUCAGAUAUUUGAGGAUAAUAUAUAAAAGUUAGAUCUCAUGAGAUCAUUGUUGGAGUUGGAUAGGUAAAACAAAAACUUCAAUCUCCAAUCUCUAUCAAAAUUUCUGAACAACUAAUCAAAACUUUCCGUUUCACCUCCCAUCUCGAACACACGCUCGGUUUGGCUCGCCAAAAGGCUACAAUGUUUCAACAAUAUAUAUGCACAAAGAUGAGUAGUUUAAUUUCAAACAACUGCCUUGAAGACUAUAUAAAUAAAAUUUAUUUUUGACAGUUUAUAUAUGCUAUUUUCUGUAGAAAAAUAAUAACACCAAGUUAAU
Molecule: unclassified non-coding RNA, 2203 nt
Filed under: Schizosaccharomyces pombe (fission yeast)
Lineage: Eukaryota; Fungi; Ascomycota; Schizosaccharomycetes; Schizosaccharomycetales; Schizosaccharomycetaceae
Description: intergenic RNA (predicted)
Source: RNAcentral